This 475-nucleotide ribosomal RNA is filed under the name uncultured bacterium. Its description in RNAcentral is "bacterial SSU rRNA". It matches the Rfam family "Bacterial small subunit ribosomal RNA", at positions 21 to 518 of the family's 1533-position model. The record is from RNAcentral.
GGCUCAGAACGAACGCUGGCGGCAUGGAUUAGGCAUGCAAGUCGAACGGUGCAGCAAUGCAUAGUGGCGCAAGGGUGAGGAACGCGUGAGUAACCUGCCCUCAAGUUGGGAACAGCUUCUGGAAACGGAAUUAAUACCGAAUGUGACCAUAGGAAGGCAUCUUCUGUUGGUUAAAGGCCGCAAGGUCGCUUGAGGAGGGGCUCGCGUCCCAUUAUGCUAGUUGGUGAGGUAACGGCCCACCAAGGCGAAGAUGGGUAGCUGGUCUGAGAGGACGAUCAGCCACACUGGGACUGAGAACUGCCCAGACUCCUACGGGAGGCUGCAGUCGAGAAUUUUGGGCAAUGGACGAAAGUCUGACCCAGCCAAUGCCGCGUGCGGGAUGAAGGUCUUCGGAUUGUAAACCGCUGUCAAGUGGGACGAAACAAAUGACGGUACCGCUGAAGGAAGUCACGGCUAACUACGUGCCAGCCGCUGC